CAAAAUUACCAGUGUUUAAUAGUAAAAACUUUGUUUCCCAAAAAAAAUAGAAAAGUUAUUAUUGAUAGAAAAAAAAAAAAUUGUCCUGCACGACAACCAUACCUUCUCCGGGCAUAAUUGGAAACGUCCACGGGGAUUCUAGGUCUCUCGUGUCUAACGGCGUCUUCAACCGGGGGUUUUAGGGUUUCAGCGGAGUCGCC
RNAcentral lists this long non-coding RNA (200 nucleotides) under Capsella rubella. RNAcentral's name for it is "long non-coding RNA (CRUB_LNC000991)". The record is from RNAcentral. Lineage: Eukaryota; Viridiplantae; Streptophyta; Magnoliopsida; Brassicales; Brassicaceae.